GACGAACGCUGGCGGCGUGCUUAACACAUGCAAGUCGAACGGAAAGGCCCUGCUUUUGUGGGGUGCUCGAGUGGCGAACGGGUGAGUAACACGUGAGUAACCUGCCCUUGACUUUGGGAUAACUUCAGGAAACUGGGGCUAAUACCGGAUAGGAGCUCCUGCUGCAUGGUGGGGGUUGGAAAGUUUCGGCGGUUGGGGAUGGACUCGCGGCUUAUCAGCUUGUUGGUGGGGUAGUGGCUUACCAAGGCUUUGACGGGUAGCCGGCCUGAGAGGGUGACCGGCAAAAUUGGGACUGAGAUACGGCCCAGCCUCCUACGGGAGGAAGCAGUGGGGAAUAUUGCACAGUGGGCGGAGGCCUGAUGCAGCACCGCCGCGUGCGGGAUGACGGCUUUCGGGUUGUAAACCGUUUUCGCCUGUGCCGAAGCGUGAGUGACGGUAAUGGGUAAAGAAGCACCGGCUAACUACGUG
Molecule: ribosomal RNA, 468 nt
Filed under: uncultured bacterium
Lineage: Bacteria
Description: partial 16S ribosomal RNA
Rfam family: Bacterial small subunit ribosomal RNA
Source: RNAcentral